This 560-nucleotide ribosomal RNA is filed under the name uncultured bacterium. RNAcentral's name for it is "bacterial SSU rRNA". It matches the Rfam family "Bacterial small subunit ribosomal RNA", at positions 338 to 916 of the family's 1533-position model. The record is from RNAcentral.
CCUACGGGAGGCAGCAGUGAGGAAUUUUCCGCAAUGGGCGAAAGCCUGACGGAGCAAUACCGCGUGAGGGAUGAAGGAUUUUGGUCUGUAAACCUCUUUUCUCAAGAAAGAAGUUCUGACGGUACUUGAGGAAUAAGCAUCGGCUAACUCCGUGCCAGCAGCCGCGGUAAUACGGGGGAUGCAAGCGUUAUCCGGAAUGAUUGGGCGUAAAGCGCCUGUAGGUUGUUUAUUAAGUCCGUUGUUAAAGCCUAGGGCUCAACCCUAGAAAAGCAAUGGAAACUAGUAGACUAGAGUAUGGCAGGGGUAGAGGGAAUUUCUAGUGUAGCGGUGAAAUGCGUAGAUAUUAGAAAGAACACCGGUGGCGAAAGCGCUCUACUGGACCAUUACUGACACUCAGAGGCGAAAGCUAGGGUAGCAAAAGGGAUUAGAUACCCCUGUAGUCCUAGCCGUAAACGAUGGAUACUAGAUGUUGUGCAUUAUGUACAGUAUCGUAGCUAACGCGUUAAGUAUCCCGCCUGGGGAGUACGCUCGCAAGGGUGAAACUCAAAAGGAAUUGACGG